AUCCCUUUGGCAACAUAUAUACUAAAAUAGAAAUGACACAGAAGAUUAGCCUGGCCUCUGUGCAAGGAAGAUGCUCAAAUUUUUGAAGUAUUCAAAAUUUUU
Molecule: small nuclear RNA, 102 nt
Organism: Fukomys damarensis (Damara mole-rat)
Lineage: Eukaryota; Metazoa; Chordata; Mammalia; Rodentia; Bathyergidae
Source: Ensembl